GAAAAUAUAGAUGGAAAGUAAAGAGGGUUUAGCUUUAAAGUUGCUUCCAAGAAACAUAGUCUUGAUUUAGAUUGUGGUUCAGAUCCUAAACAAGCUUUCAUAUCCGCCCCACUGCAAAUCCUGGAAUCCAUCCUCCAUCUCAAUCUCCAUGCCUGUCCUGACCACAAGCCAAGACUUUCUUUCAUUUCACAGACUAUAAUGUUCUAAUCAAACAGUUCAUUUCUUUUUUUCUUUUUUCGGGGUUAGAAAAGAAGAUCAUCAUACAAUAACAGUUGGGCACUCAAGCAAAAAAUUAAGCAAGCUUAGUACAUAUUCUGCAAAAGAAAAUUUGUUUUGUUUAUGUGAAAAGCAUCGGCCAGUUCAAAUCAAAAUCCCGGCAAUGAGUACAAAUUUCAAUGUCACUUUUCUUUGGUCUCCUUUGAGCUUGCCAACCAAAUGCAUCCAAAGCUUUAAGCAAACACCAUGGGUUUAAUUAUGGAUUCAUUUCAGUGGUGGAAAUAAUUUGAACUGAUAGAUAUUUGCAUGAUUUAUAGCUGGUGGAGGCAAAAUAAAAACAUUUGCAAAGUGAGAUUCCUCAGGAAACAUUAAAGGCAACCAAAAAAGAAAAGAAAAAAAUCUUAAAGCUAUGGGGUACAGGGCAUUGAGGCAGGUAAAAAAUGAUUAUUGACAAAAAUUAGAAAAGUUAAAGGUUGGAAUGGCAAUGAGUUAGGUUUGUGAAUAAAGAUUUGUUAUUGAUUAAAGUAAGAUUACUUUGUCAUUCGGUGAUUUCAGCCUUCAAAUGAAUUUUAUAAUGGAGGUUAAAAUUCAAAAAUUGAGAUUCAUACGAUGAAGUUCAGCAUCUGGGCAUCCUGAAAAUGGAGCCCACACCCUACUUUGAGAAUGGCCCACCCGCCCAUUACCCACUUAUCGAUAUGGUUUGGUGGGCCACCUUAUUUUUGUUUUCCGGAAAACAGAAGCACAAAUGGCUCUCUCUGGGUGUUUGGAUGCAAACUUACACCAACUCCAUCCCCCUCUGGAAUUUAAUUCUUGGCCCAUGUCAUUGAUCAUUAAUUAUGAGAAAAUAGUUUCCAUUUUUAGUUGGAUUACCUUUCACAGUAGGCUGUGUUCUUAGUUACCCAUUAAAGGCCAAAUGGUUUUCUGUAAACGUCCAAAAAAAAAAAAAAAUUUUAUAUGAAAAGAUGGAUUUAGAACAAUCAAACUAUACGUAAACAAAGGAUGAAUGGUUGAAUAGUAGUGGUUACUUGGAACUUUGUCAAAAGGAUUGGAUGCUUGAAAAACAUUCUACUUCUCUGACUGACUCUCUCCGAUUCUUUCUUUUCGGAGCUUUUGGGUCUUCUUUGGCUGUCUCUCCCUACUCCCUAGUCCCUCCCUUCAAACCGCCUUUUUUUAGUCUAAAAAAUAGAACCACUUCUCCAUCUGCUGCUCAUAAUCUCUCUCAAAUAGUCUCUGUUUUUCUCUCUGUAAAUACCAAGAACAGAUCACCAUCAUCAUCAUCGUCAUCAUCAAUGGCGGCAAACAAGUUUGCAACUAUGUUGCAUCGAAACACGAACAAGAUCACGCUUAUUCUCAUCUAUGCUGUUCUCGAAUGGAUUCUGAUCGUCCUUCUUCUUCUCAACUCUCUUUUCUCUUAUCUAAUCGUGAAAUUUGCAGACUACUUCGGCCUCAAGAGACCCUGCCUCUGGUGUUCUAGGCUCGAUCACAUUUUUGAGCCUGAGAAGGGAAAGACUUCUUACAGAGGUCUUGUGUGUGAAACCCACGCUGCGGAGAUUUCGAAACUGGGGUACUGUUCGAAUCAUCGGAAGUUGGCUGAAUUGCAAGAUAUGUGUGAGGAUUGCUCGUCCUCAUCGCGGCCUGAUUAUUGUGAAUUAUCGAAAAAGAUCGCUUUCAUUCCAUGGGUGAAGCAGAUUGGUAUGAUUCAGAGUGAUGGUGAGAAGAUUGUGGAAAAUGGGGAGGUAAAUUUGAGGUGUUCCUGCUGUGAUGUUAGCUUGAACAGCAAAUUCUACUCUCCUUAUUUUCUGAUCAAACCCUCUUGGGGGGUUUUGGAUUAUACUCAGAAAGGGAAUUUGAUAACCGAAACUGGGAUCGACGAUGGCAUUGACGAAGUCGAUAAUUCCGAUAGAAGCAGAUCGGAUUUUGCGGCUGAUCGAUGCGAGGAAGAUGAGGGGACUAAUGGAAACAAGGGAAAUCAGAUACUUUCUGAUGUUGAUGCAAGCUCUGGAACAAGAGAAGAGGAGGCAGAGGAGGAUUGUUCAUAUUCCGUAUCUAAUUUUGGUUGCAGGGAGACGAUGGCUAGUGAAGAUGAUAAAGUGGAGAUGAUCGUAGAGAAAGCGCAAGAACCCAUCAAGGAGGAAGGUACGAAGGAGCAAGGUGGGAAUUUUUGCAUCGAAGAUCCGUUUUGCGAUGGGAACAGUAGUCGAGUUUGCGCCGAGGAAGAUGCAUCUAUUAAUAUUCCGCCUCAGCAUCUUGAGUAUUACGUUGAUCGUGAUGAUUUUCGAUUGGUUCCGGUUGAGUUGAUCGAUUUCACUGCUGCCGAUAUCCAGAAUGGGUACAGAACAGAGGACGUAGGUCAAGCAAACUGGGAUCGCCGAGAAGUCAUACUGGGUUCUGAAUUUGGUGCAGAGGCGCAAAUUGAAUCAAUUAUGGAGAACAAAUGCAGUCAAGGAAAGCCAGUGGCAGUAGAAUUUUGUGCUCAUGAGACUAAGGAGGAACCCGAACUGGAGUUUGCAUUGGUUGAAUCCAUGGAGAUAGAUGAGAAUGAGAAUUCUUCGACUUUACGUGGUGAAGAAGGGGAUUUAGUGUGGGAGGUAUAUCAACCUGUUGCCAUUACUCAAGCAACUCAAACUCCAUUUAAUGAUGUAGUUGAUGUUCAAGAAACUGAUGCAGCGGCCGGAGGAGAAAAGAUUUCAGAAACUAAUCCAGGUAUAUUGAUUUUAUCUUUUUCCAAUUGAUUCUAGUUUUGCUUUUACUCGUAUAUUAAUUUUGGAGUAGAAAUUUUUAGUAAUGUGAGGAUAUAUGCAGCAUCUGUUGAAGUGUUUCGGAUGAGGAUUGAUGAAACUGAAGUAGAGAUCUUGAUAGGGACAGAGAUGCCUGAUCAGGCACCCACAGAUAAGAUUCGAGCUCAAGAAAUUCUUCCUUCAGAUCCUUGCAUCCAGGAAGAUCCAUCGACUAGUUCUGCUAAUUUGUAUGCUGAUGAUGAUCAUUGUAUGCAACUAAUUCUUAUUUUACUGUCUUUAGAAAUUGAUAAGUUGAUAGUUAUUGUGUAUAAUUUGAGUGUUUUCAUCUUAGGUUCUGAGCAAGCUGAGGAAGAAACUUUGGAAUGCAAAACCAUGACAGUUGAGAUAAGUGAGCAAGCAAUAAACACUCAUUUGUUGUGUACAGAGCUUAAUGAAAUUGAGGAUGAAAUUGAGGAAGCUAAAGUACCUAAUUCACCCGCUUCUAUUGAAGGUCUCCUUCACUUGCACACAAAAUUACUUUUCUUAUUUUUCCACAUUUAGAAAUUGAAUUUAUUUGUAUUGAUGUGCGUUUGUCCAUAUUAGGUCCUACGCCAGCCGAGGAAGAAGCAUUACAAUGCAAAACCAUACUUGUUGAGACAAGUGAGCAAGCUAUAGACACUCAUUUCUCAACAUGUUUAGAGCUUAAUGAAAUCGAGGAGGAGAGAGUUCCCGAUACACCCACUUCCAUUGAUGGGCUCAAUCACUUACACAAGAGAUUACUGCUCCUCGAGAAACGAGAAUCAGGAACUGAAGAGUCUUUGGAUGGUAGUGUCAUAAGUGAGUUUGAAGGUGGUGAUGUUGGUCUGACCGUUGAAAAGCUGAAAUCAGCACUGAGGUCUGAACGAAAGGCUUCAAGUGUUUUAUAUGCAGAACUAGAAGAAGAAAGAAGUGCUUCCGCAGUAGCAGCCAAUCAGACUAUGGCAAUGAUAAAUCGACUGCAGGAAGAGAAGGCAGCAAUGCAGAUGGAAGCUUUGCAGUACCAGAGAAUGAUGGAAGAACAAUCUGAAUAUGACCAGGAAGCCUUGCAGCUUUUGAAUGAGCUUAUGAUAAAGAGGGAAAAAGAGAAGCAAGAGCUAGAGAAAGAGCUGGAAAUAUAUCGCAAGAAGGUCUUGGAUUAUGAGGCAAGAGAAAAAAUGAUGUUAAGAAGAAUGAAAGAGGGUAGUGCCAGAAGCAGAACUUCCUCUGCAUCUUGUAGCAAUGCAGAAGAUAGUGAUGGGCUAUCUGUUGAGUUGAAUCAUGAAGAAAAGGAAGAAGAUAGCUUAUAUGGAUUUCGAGAAAGUGGCGACCACAACACCCCUGCUGAUGCAGUUCUAAGUUUGGAGGAAUCUUUGGCUACCUUUGAGGAAGAGAGGCUUUCCAUUCUUGAGCAACUGAAGGUUUUAGAAGAGAAGCUUUUCACGUUGGCUGAUGAGGAGGAACAUGACCCUAACAAUAUGAAGCCAAUUCAGCAUUCCUAUGAAGAGAAUUGCAAAGAUUUUGAUGAGAAUUGUGACCAUAGCCCUGAAGUAAAUGGUCUUGGAAAUGGAUUUUCCAAGGACAUGAAUGGAAAGCAUCACCAAGAGAGAAGAAUCUCAGGACCAAAGGCAAAGAGACUUCUUCCUCUUUUUGAUGCAAUUGUUGCAGAAACUGAAGAUGGGUUAUUGGAUGGAAAUGACAUAGUAUUUGACUCAUUCCUCUUACAAGACUCGUCAGUCACCAAGUUUGAUAUAGAGAGUAAGAAGAAUGCAAUUGAAGAGGAGGUGGAUAAUCUCUAUGAGAGGCUACAAGCUCUUGAGGCAGAUAGGGAAUUUCUAAAGCAUUGCAUAAGCUCCUUGAACAAAGGAGAUAAGGGGAUGGAUCUUCUCCAGGAGAUCUUACAACAUCUUCGUGAUCUGAGGAGUGUGGAACUCCGAGUGAGGAAUUUCAGUGAUGGUGCUCUAGUAUGACUUCAUCCUCAACAAGAGAAUAGGUAAAUGUUAUAUUCCUUGUUCUCCAUAGGGCUACAUUUUCUCCUAGAAUGAAUCUACUAUUCAAUUGUGAUUGCAUUUUUUUCACCGGACUUAUUUCUUAUUUUCAUUAUUAUUACUAUUAUUUUUAUUUUAAUGCAGAUUGGUCUUUUCAAGUUGAUUUAACAGCAGUGAAUUUGGACACGAGCACCCACCACUCUGCAUUGAUGAAAUGAAAAGCUGAUUGUACCCUGAGCCUUCUAAAAAAUCAACAGGAAGUCCCUUGAUGGAGAGGAAGCUCCUGUUAUGGUCUGUUUUGGUGAUAAUGGUGGACCAAGAAAUUGAGGUCUGCCUACUUUUCCUGGUUUUUUUAUCCAAGUAAGCCCAAAUUUUUGUGGGUUGUGCCCAUCACCAACUUUCGAGGGAAAGGUGGUUGAUGAGUGUAUGUGUGUGUAGGCUAGUGAGGUGAAGCCACCCUGUCAUUUGUAUGUCGUUGUGAGAAAAGGUCUGGCUUGCAAAGCUGGAGAGAUCCAACAAAGAUUCCAGUGCCAGGCACAUAGCAUUAGUUUAUCAUAGACAGUUAGAACUAGGAUUUUUUUUUUCUUUCUUUCUUCAUUUUUUAAUUUUUUUUUUUCCUUUUUCAGAGAAGGAAAGAAGGGGUAAGUAACUCCCUUUUUCUUUCUCACCUUUGCAUCAUUUCAUCAUAUGGGGUUUGUUUAUCAUUUGAGGGGCAAAGUUGGAUUACUUGUAUACUAUAUGUAUCCAUUUGUAAGUAUAUAAAGUGAGUGUUUGUUUACACUGGUCUUGGAGUCAGCUUACAUUCUUUUCUUUGUUUCUAAGUUCAUGGGGCAGAUGAUGUACAUAAAUUGGAAUAAAUUAAAACAAUCAGAAGAAGGAAGAAUCAAAAGAUUGCUUUAACAAUGGUUGUUGUAGCUUUAAGCAAUGAAGAAAACUAUAGGUAGGUAAGGACAGACAAAAAUUAGUAAAAUAAGUUGAUCAACAACAACAAUUGUUGGGCAGUCUUACCUGCUAGGAGAAUAGCUCAAUCAUAUAGUUAUGUUGGAUCCCAAAUUGCCUGUGGAGAUCAACUCAUCAUUGUUGUUUGGUUGGAUCAGGAUAAGCUCAUGGUUCAUAUAUUGUUCAUAUUCACUUUGUACUAAUCUCACUGGAGGAUCAUG
RNAcentral lists this long non-coding RNA (6096 nucleotides) under Vitis vinifera (wine grape). RNAcentral describes it as "long non-coding RNA (VVIN_LNC000081)". Lineage: Eukaryota; Viridiplantae; Streptophyta; Magnoliopsida; Vitales; Vitaceae. The record is from RNAcentral.